GAGGAUGAUCCGCCACACUGGGACUGAGACACGGCCCAGACUCCUACGGGAGGCAGCAGUGGGGAAUAUUGGACAAUGGGCGCAAGCCUGAUCCAGCCAUGCCGCGUGUGUGAAGAAGGCCUUAUGGUUGUAAAGCACUUUAAGCGAGGAGGAGGCUACUUUAGAUAAUACCUAGAGAUAGUGGACGUUACUCGCAGAAUAAGCACCGGCUAACUCUGUGCCAGCAGCCGCGGUAAUACAGAGGGUGCAAGCGUUAAUCGGAUUUACUGGGCGUAAAGCGCGCGUAGGCGGCUAAUUAAGUCAAAUGUGAAAUCCCCGAGCUUAACUUGGGAAUUGCAUUCGAUACUGGUUAGCUAGAGUGUGGGAGAGGAUGGUAGAAUUCCAAGUGUAGCGGUGAAAUGCGUACAGAUCUGGAGGAAUACCGAUGGCGAAGGCAGCCAUCUGGCCUAA
Molecule: ribosomal RNA, 450 nt
Filed under: Acinetobacter sp. AUPU-3
Lineage: Bacteria; Pseudomonadati; Pseudomonadota; Gammaproteobacteria; Moraxellales; Moraxellaceae
Description: bacterial SSU rRNA
Rfam family: Bacterial small subunit ribosomal RNA
Source: RNAcentral